This 305-nucleotide ribosomal RNA is filed under the name uncultured bacterium. RNAcentral's name for it is "bacterial SSU rRNA". It matches the Rfam family "Bacterial small subunit ribosomal RNA", at positions 337 to 638 of the family's 1533-position model. The record is from RNAcentral.
GCCUACGGGGGGCAGCAGUGAGGAAUAUUGGUCAAUGGGCGGAAGCCUGAACCAGCCAAGUCGCGUGAGGGAUUAAGGCCCUAUGGGUCGUAAACCUCUUUUGUCAGGGAGCAAUGGCGUCCACGUGUGGGCGUAUGGAGAGUACCUGAAGAAAAAGCAUCGGCUAACUCCGUGCCAGCAGCCGCGGUAAUACAUAGGGAGCAAGCGUUAUCCGGAUUUAUUGGGGGUAAAGGGUGCGUAGACGGGAAAGCAAGUUAGUUGUGAAAUCCCUCGGCUUAACUGAGGAACUGCAACUAAAACUGUUU